UAGGGAAUCUUCCGCAAUGGACGAAAGUCUGACGGAGCAACGCCGCGUGAGUGAAGAAGGAUUUCGGUUCGUAAAACUCUGUUGUUAGGGAAGAAAAAAUGUAUAGUAACUAUAUACAAAAGAGACGGUACCUAACCAGAAAGCCACGGCUAACUACGUGCCAGCAGCCGCGGUAAUACGUAGGUGGCAAGCGUUGUCCGGAAUUAUUGGGCGUAAAGCGCGCGCAGGUGGUUUAGAAAGUCUGAUGUGAAAGCCCACGGCUCAACCGUGGAGGGUCAUUGGAAACUAAUAAACUUGAGUGCAGGAGAGAAAAGUGGAAUUCCUAGUGUAGCGGUGAAAUGCGUAGAGAUUAGGAGGAACACCGGUGGCGAAAGCGGCUUUUUGGCCUGCAACUGACACUGCGGCGCGAAAGCGUGGGGAGCAAACAGG
This 429-nucleotide ribosomal RNA is filed under the name Verrucomicrobiota bacterium. RNAcentral describes it as "Verrucomicrobia bacterium partial 16S ribosomal RNA". It matches the Rfam family "Bacterial small subunit ribosomal RNA", at positions 355 to 776 of the family's 1533-position model. The record is from RNAcentral. Lineage: Bacteria; Pseudomonadati; Verrucomicrobiota.